CAAACACACCAUCUGAUAAUAGGAUGAUGCAUGUGCUGCAUGGGGAAUACAUGUGCUGUUGUGUAUUUAAGAGAGUGAUUGGAGAGGAGUGUUAAACAGAUGAUAUAUUUGCUUGAAGUGGAUGCAUGGGCUAUUAUGAGCCAAAGAUACUUACCUGUGUGGCACAGCUCGUACCAACAGGAAGGGCUACCCCGCCGUUCAUCUCCCUUCAGGUAAGGCAGCAAAUCGUCUGCAGAGAGGGACCAUCGACUGGCGAGCUUGUGGGGACUUCGUUGCAACCAUGUGGAAAGACAACAAGCCUCUUUUCUACCUCAGCACGGCACACUCUCCCGAGGAAGAUGGUUUGACCACCAAAAGGAGGAAGAAGGACGGGUCGCAGGAAAUCCUUCCCAACGCACCAUGUGUGAAGGAUUAUGGAAAGUAUAUGGGAGGGGUUGAUAGGUUAGACCAAAACACUCGCCAAAAUAAGGGCAAAAAACCCAUGAGGUGGUAUAGGCGUGUUGAGGUGAAGUUGAGAGAAAUAGCCAUUUACAAUGCCUAUGUCAUUGAAGGUACCUUCAUCAACCACAUGCCAGGUGGGAAAAGAAAGCGAGAUAUGCUGGCCUUCAAGCUUGGACUGCUGCAUCAACUCAUUGGAGGGUACCGUCAAGACAGGAGGCUAGGUCGUUCCAGAUCAGUCAUCGUUGGAACAGGAACGCUUGGAUGGGAACGGUCACUGGCCAGUGCCGUCAGGUAGUCUUGACACCCGGUGCUUGGUUUGUGUGAAGAUGCACAAUGUGUAUCGUGUGCAGCACCCAGGUGAAAACUGCAUCAUCAAAGGGAGAUAAUCCACCUUCAUCACACCUGCCAAUCAAGCUUCAGCUACCUGUGCCAUCUAGUGAUGGAAAACAUUUUAUUUGCACUUUCAGUGUAUGAUAUUUGACAAUAAAGUAAUUUUGCCCUUUUGUCAACUUUUGUCUUUUUUUCACUCGGUCCUGCUAACCAUGGCAAAUGAAAUGAUCUUUCAGGCGAGUUGCUGCUACAUAAUAUUGCCUCUUUAUUAUUCUAGAUUCCAAUAUAAUAUUCCUUUGCAUGAAAAGCAUUAAUAUUUCAACUAUUCAACUUGAAAAACUCAGAAAAUACCCUGUGAUAUAAUUUCAGGUGAAGAAAAGGGUCAUUUCAAAAGGGAGGUAAUCCACCGUCACCACACCUGCCAAUCAAGCUUUUUUUUUUUUUUUUUUAUACCUGUGACAUUUAGUGAUGGCA
This 1245-nucleotide unclassified non-coding RNA is filed under the name Haliotis rubra (blacklip abalone). RNAcentral describes it as "piggyBac transposable element-derived protein 3-like, transcript variant X2". The record is from RNAcentral. Lineage: Eukaryota; Metazoa; Mollusca; Gastropoda; Lepetellida; Haliotidae.